This 736-nucleotide long non-coding RNA is filed under the name Manihot esculenta (cassava). Its description in RNAcentral is "long non-coding RNA (MESC_LNC006380)". Lineage: Eukaryota; Viridiplantae; Streptophyta; Magnoliopsida; Malpighiales; Euphorbiaceae. The record is from RNAcentral.
ACUGAACAUUUCAAAAUAAACCCUUGGACAACUCGGACACAACAUGAAGAUGCAAUCGAAUAUUUAAGACACAUUCAACUCUUGCUCAAUCCAGACAUGCUAUUUCUUGGAUGAUACCAAUUGCAGAUACUGAUAAUCCUACAGGGGAUUCUUGUGAUAGUACAGAGAAGAUGGUAUUAAAGCCACAGAAGAAGAGGCAAUGUCAAAGAUUCUUGUAUAAAGACAACAGAGCUAGAUCAUGAGUGCUAUGCCAAUCCCACCUGUUUGUAAUGAAAAAGAAAGUUUUCAACAAUGAGAAUUAUAACGCCAGAUUUUUAUGAGAAUCUGUAACAUUUUGGAGGCAUUAAUGGAUACCUAGUAACAGAGCACUUGCAAUGAUCAUGGAGGCCAGAAUGCAGAUUAAUGUACUCAUCAACUUUCUUUCCACAUGUAGUCCUACAAAGACAGCAAUUAUGGCCACAACAGAAAAGCAGUAGAGAGAUGUUUAAAAUUGGAAGACUAUUAACAAUUUGGACCAUGAUUGCAUUAAGUUACCAUAAGGAAUUGGAAUUUGCUUUAGAAGAUAAUAGACGUCGAAGCUAUCAUACUGAAGCUACAACAAGAAAAUUGCUCAAAAUUGUAAUUGGUACUUCACUUCUGACUCAAUUAAGUUGAAUUCUUGCAAAAUUUUAGAUUUUGAAUGGAGGAUAAGGAUCGGGAUUGAGUGGGAAAUUUCAUCCUUGGCAGAAGCUUCUCA